GCUUACGGCCAUACCACCCUGAGCACGCCUGAUCUCGUCUGAUCUCGGAAGCUAAUCAUGGAUGGGCUUGGUUAGUACUUGGAUGAGAGACUGCCUGGGAAUACCAGGUGCUGUUAGCU
RNAcentral lists this ribosomal RNA (119 nucleotides) under Haplochromis burtoni (Burton's mouthbrooder). The record is from RNAcentral. Lineage: Eukaryota; Metazoa; Chordata; Actinopteri; Cichliformes; Cichlidae.